Molecule: ribosomal RNA, 114 nt
Filed under: Otolemur garnettii (small-eared galago)
Lineage: Eukaryota; Metazoa; Chordata; Mammalia; Primates; Galagidae
Source: RNAcentral
GUCUAUGUCCCUACCACCAUGAUGUGCCCAAUCUUGUCUGAUCUUAGAAGUGAGGCAGGUCAGACCUGGUUAGUAUUUGGGUAGGAAAAUAGAUAUUUUAAGGUAAAAUACACA